CGACUCUGCAACGGAUAUCUCGCUCUGCAUCGAUAAGAACGUAGCGAAAUGCGAUACUGGUGUAAUGCAGAAUCCCGUGAACCAUCGAGUCUUUGAACUGCAGUUGCGCCCGAAGCUUGGGUCGGGCACGUCUGCUGGGCGUAGAUUGUUGCCUCCUAAAUGC
This 163-nucleotide ribosomal RNA is filed under the name Luxemburgia polyandra. Its description in RNAcentral is "5.8S ribosomal RNA". The stretch from base 2 to 144 matches the Rfam family "5.8S ribosomal RNA". Rfam says of the family: 5.8S ribosomal RNA (5.8S rRNA) is a component of the large subunit of the eukaryotic ribosome. It is transcribed by RNA polymerase I as part of the 45S precursor that also contains 18S and 28S rRNA. Functionally, it is thought that 5.8S rRNA may be involved in ribosome translocation. The record is from RNAcentral. Lineage: Eukaryota; Viridiplantae; Streptophyta; Magnoliopsida; Malpighiales; Ochnaceae.